UACGUAGGGGGCAAGCGUUGUUCGGAAUUACUGGGCGUAAAGGGCGCGUAGGCGGCCUGCUAAGUCGAACGUGAAAUCCCUGGGCUCAACCCAGGAACUGCGUCCGAUACUGGUUGGCUUGAAUCCGGGAGAGGGACGUGGAAUUCCAGGUGUAGCGGUGAAAUGCGUAGAUAUCUGGAGGAACACCGGUGGCGAAGGCGACGUCCUGGACCGGCAUUGACGCUGAGGCGCGAAAGCCAGGGGAGCAAACGGG
This 253-nucleotide ribosomal RNA is filed under the name uncultured bacterium. RNAcentral's name for it is "partial 16S ribosomal RNA". It matches the Rfam family "Bacterial small subunit ribosomal RNA", at positions 524 to 776 of the family's 1533-position model. The record is from RNAcentral.